Molecule: long non-coding RNA, 243 nt
Filed under: Mytilus galloprovincialis (Mediterranean mussel)
Lineage: Eukaryota; Metazoa; Mollusca; Bivalvia; Mytilida; Mytilidae
Source: RNAcentral
UUCGGUAACCGUAUCCAUCAUUCGCUGUAAACUAAUUUCAUCAGGAGCCAGCAACACUAUGUCGUCUGCAUAUAAUAAAAUACUAAGCAUAGAGUUGUCCAUCUGUAAACCACAUUUUAGAUCGUUGAUUUUGCUGGCUAAAUCGUUUAUGAAAAUAGAAAACAACGUGGGAGACAGUAUACAGCCCUGUUUCACACCGCUAGAAACGUCAAACCACGGGGUAUUGUCACUGUUGACCCGUAC